CUUUUAUGCAUUAUGAUUAUUGGUUUAUGUUUUUGGUUUCAGAAUGAACUAGAUUAUUGUGGAGAGGAGCCAUCCAUGUCAUCUAGAGCACCACUGCAACAACAGCAAUUACAAGCAGUAAUGCAUGUCCCUAGUUCUGAUAAUCAACCAAAAAAUUCCGUGUUUUCAAAUGCUUUGUCGAGCCCCAUUCGUCGAAGUCUUCAUCAGGCAGGGAAUCACAUUAGUGUUCUUGGAAACCGGAAUACUGAACCUGGGUUUCUUCACCAGCAAAGCAGAGAUGCUGUCACAUUCAGUUCUAAUGAUUCUGCCAUGGACAUGCAUGCAGACUAGUCCUGCCUAUUGUUUCAUAGGUUUAAAAUUCUUCUCUCACCCGCCAACCAUAGGAAUCCUAGAUCAGGGUUUGUUUUUUAUGUCCUACAUGAAAUGCCAGGAGGAUGGAACUAUUUCUAUUAAAUGUUUAGAUGGUUAUGUUAUUUGAAUGAUUAGUUUGGGUCUUUGAAAAUGUUGUGUAAAGUUUUUUAUGAUGAUUUUUGAAGCAUUUCAAUUUGUCCUUUAGUUUUACCAGAAGUUAAUGUUGGAAAUUAACAUUAUUCAAGAUUUUCAAUUGGAGUGGGGUACCUAGGCUAAAAGAGUACCUUUGAUAGACUCACCUAUGUGAAUAUGGAAGUAGGGGCCGUUUCCUAUGAAAUUUA
Molecule: long non-coding RNA, 692 nt
Filed under: Lupinus mutabilis
Lineage: Eukaryota; Viridiplantae; Streptophyta; Magnoliopsida; Fabales; Fabaceae
Description: partial ncRNA
Source: RNAcentral